RNAcentral lists this small nuclear RNA (23 nucleotides) under Arabidopsis thaliana (thale cress). RNAcentral's name for it is "snRNA_18702". Lineage: Eukaryota; Viridiplantae; Streptophyta; Magnoliopsida; Brassicales; Brassicaceae. The record is from RNAcentral.
AUCGGACGUCUUCGGCGUUCGAA